UAGGAUGCUGGCGUAAUGGUCGUAAUCCGCCCGUCUUGGAACACGGACCAAGGAGUCUAACAUCUAUGCGAGUGUUCGGGUGUCAAACCCCUACGCGUAAUGAAAGUGAACGGAGGUGAGAACCGCAAGGUGCAUCAUCGACCGAUCCUGAUGUCUUCGGAUGGAUUUGAGUAAGAGCAUAGCUGUUGGGACCCGAAAGAUGGUGAACUA
Molecule: ribosomal RNA, 210 nt
Filed under: Chrysochromulina rotalis
Lineage: Eukaryota; Haptophyta; Prymnesiales; Chrysochromulinaceae
Description: partial Eukaryotic large subunit ribosomal RNA
Rfam family: Eukaryotic large subunit ribosomal RNA
Source: RNAcentral